Molecule: long non-coding RNA, 259 nt
Filed under: Gallus gallus (chicken)
Lineage: Eukaryota; Metazoa; Chordata; Aves; Galliformes; Phasianidae
Source: RNAcentral
CAGGCUGACGCGGUGCCCCGCGGCGGUGCGGAUGCUCCACGUGCACUCCUUCCUGCCGCGGUGUCCGCCGGGCCAAUCGGGGCUGCGGAUGGUGCCCAGCGCCGCCCUCACUCUGUGCUCACAGCCGGCCUCCUUGCAGUCGUGCAUGUUGUCGUGCAGCACGAAGCCGCUGCGGCAGCGGCACUCAUAGCUGCCCCACGAGUUGAGGCAGUCGUGUUGGCAGCCGCCGUUAUUCGCGGAGCAUUCGUCCAUAUCUGCG